This is a long non-coding RNA of Alligator sinensis (Chinese alligator), 1705 nucleotides long. RefSeq lists it as uncharacterized. NCBI's taxonomy places the organism in Eukaryota, Metazoa, Chordata, Crocodylia, Alligatoridae. The transcript is spliced from 4 exons. The record is from RefSeq and is a predicted model, not a curated record.
AAACGAUUUACAAGGGACUUUUAAAGACCGAUGGGAAUCUCUUGCUGGGAUCAUUUCUGCAGCUAGCGUUUUGCUCGCCGCCUUCUGCAUCCCUCCCUCGGAAAUCCAGCUCAGCUCAAUCGUCAGUAAAAACGAUCCACCCAUGGACUGAUCUUAAGGGCAGGAGCCAGAACUCAGACCUUCAUCUUCCCAGCACUUCUGUACAGCUGAAGGAGCUUUUGGGGCAGAUCCAAAAUAUUGACCAUUACAACGUUAUUGAGACACAGAAGCAUGAACCAUUCACAGCCACGCUUCUCGUACUGCAUGUGAGCAUCCGAAUUCAGGACAAGCGUGACAGAGUGACUGCGCAACUGGGUGUGAUUCUUACAGAGCAGGUGGAUUGUUACAAACACAAGCAACCAUGAAACAAGGACUUCAAACCACUUGACACACAUUAAGCACGAGUCAAGAUAAGAAAUGACUGCUCAGAUCAAGCUGCCGGGAUCUGUGGUUUUGGAGAACACCACAAAUGGAUUAAAAGAUGCAUACUGCUAUUUGAUCAGUGCCAUGAAAACUAAACAGGGCCGCCCGAUUCCUGUAGGAUGAUCCUGAACUGGCCGAAAGCUGUGCACUCCCGCAUGAGUGCCACUUCACCACACCCUUCACUCUGGUGUGCACAUCACAAUCACUGUAGCAUGCGAGGCCAACAGGCUGCUUCCUCCUCUUUUUUUUUUUUAGGAACGUCAAUGAAGAUGCUAAGUGCAUGAACAUAUUAGUUACACAACAUAUUGCUUGUCCUCUACGGUAGAAUGUAAUUCCUUAGAAAUGAGAGGUCUGGUGUGAACAUUGCAGUUGGGAACUGUUAAAAAACCACUGACUUUCAAACUUUCCUCUAUUAGGAAAGAGUUAUAUUUUUUUUUCAAAUUCAAAUUCACCCCAUUUUUGACCAGCUCUCCUUUAAUUAGCAUUUAAGAAAAUUGAUUUGCAAGUGUUUUGCAAGUAUAUGCUUUGAAUUUACACUGGUCAAAUGACUUAUUGGAGAAGGCAAUCUCACCUUACGAAGAGAGUAAAAGCCAAUGAUCCCAGGAAUUUUCAUUUGAAUUUUUGAACUUCUCUCUGUAACCAGUCUUCAGCCAGCUCUGAUUUGGAUAGCGUGAGCAACUUCCAGCCAUCUCAGGGCUGAACAAAAAAGCCUGUGCAGCAGAACUGUGAGAUUAUAAAAAGCAGCUUUAACCGAGACGGAUGAGCAACAUUUGGAUUCAAUAAAGGUACAGGUGCAUUUCUUUACAAGUUCAUUUUUCAGUGAUCACUGUGGCUGCAUUGACAGUAUAAUGUUGCUUCCAUUUGUGGUGAAAACCAUCCGCUUCCUCACCACCAAUGUGAAUUCCGAUGAUUAAAAGUCAUAUCCCAAAGUUUCUGGAAGAAACUUCUCUCCCUCCCUCCCCCCACUGCACUCUAUUUUCAUGACAGUGACCUGGACUCCCACCCAGAAGCAGCUGCGUGCUCCAGCAAAAACAGGAACCCAGCGCCUUGCAAAGAGCCUGCACAGCACUGCAGCUACUUGCCGGUGUGGCAGCAAAUACCAGGCUUGGAAAUGGCCAACGCUAAAACUUUAAAGAAUGCAGAGAUUGAGGGAGGUUCCCUUAUCCUGAGGAGAGAGUGGAUCCAAGAGAUAAUUCCAGUCUAGAAGCAUUGCCAUUGUGCAGAGCCAAACGAGGCAGAGCUA